This 533-nucleotide ribosomal RNA is filed under the name Entamoeba sp. RNAcentral's name for it is "bacterial SSU rRNA". It matches the Rfam family "Eukaryotic small subunit ribosomal RNA", at positions 52 to 592 of the family's 1831-position model. The record is from RNAcentral. Lineage: Eukaryota; Evosea; Mastigamoebida; Endamoebidae.
UGCAUGUGUAAGUUUAAAGACCAAGUAGGAUGAAACUGCGGACGGCUCAUUAUAACAGUAAUAGUUUCUUUGGUUAGUCGGUACAAGGAUAACUUUGUGAAUGAUAAAGCUAAUACUUGAGACGAUCCGGGGAGUAUCAAUACUUUUCGGCCGUUGGCCGCAAGGCUGGCGAGAAACGACAUUCUCUUGUGAAAAAGGAUGCCGCGACAAUUGAGGAAAGCGACGCUUUUAACAAGUAACCAAUGGGAAUUUCUGAUCUAUCAAUUUGUUGGUAGUAUCGAGGACUACCAAGAUUAUAACGGAUAACGAGGAAUUGGGGUUCGACAUCGGAGAGGGAGCUUUACAGAUGGCUACCACUUCUAAGGAAGGCAGCAGGCGCGUAAAUUACCCACUUUCGACUUGAAGAGGUAGUGACGACAAAUAACUCUUGGCGCCCUUCGGGGUGACUUGAAGGAAUGAUUUAGAAGUAAAUUCUCUAAAGAAAUCAAUUGGAGGGCAAGUCUGGUGCCAGCAGCCGCGGUAAUUCCAGCUCC